CUCAGCAUGGGAUGGAGCUAUAUUGUCCUCUUCCUAUUGGCAGCAGUUACAGGUGUGAACUCACAGAUCCAGCUGGUACAGUCUGGGGCUGAACUGGUGAAGCCUGGGGCUUCAGUGAAGAUGUCUUGUAAGGCUUCAGGAUACACCUUCACUAGCUACUAUAUGAACUGGGUGAAGCAGAAGCCUGGUCAGGGACUGGAGUGGAUUGGAAGGAUUGAUCCAGGAAAUGGUGAAACUAAAUAUGCUCAGAAGUUCCAGGGAAAGGCCACACUGACUGCAGACAAAUCCUCCAGCACAGCCUACAUGGAGCUCAGCAGCAUGACAUCAGAAGACUCUGCAGUCUAUUACUGUACAAGACACAGUGUUGCAAUCACAUCCUGA
This is a non-coding RNA of Microtus oregoni (creeping vole), 381 nucleotides long. Lineage: Eukaryota; Metazoa; Chordata; Mammalia; Rodentia; Cricetidae. The record is from the annotation of a RefSeq genome assembly.